GAACGCACAUUGCGCCCUUUGGUAUUCCGAAGGGCAUGCCUGUUCGAGCGUCAUUAUCACCCCUCAAGCCCCCGGCUUGGUGUUGGACGGCUUGGUGGAGACCCUUUUGUGGCCCACCCCUCCCAAAGACAAUGACGGCGGCCUCGUUGGACCCCCGGUACACUGAGUUCUUCACGGGACACGUAUCGGACACACGGGUUUACGGGCCACGGUCUGCCUCCCCUUAGGGAGAAUUUUUCUCAAGGUUGACCUCGGAUCAGGUAGGGAUACCCGCUGAACUUAAG
This 284-nucleotide unclassified non-coding RNA is filed under the name uncultured Ascomycota. RNAcentral describes it as "sequence contains 5.8S rRNA gene". The stretch from base 1 to 53 matches the Rfam family "5.8S ribosomal RNA", at positions 102 to 154 of the family's 154-position model. The record is from RNAcentral. Lineage: Eukaryota; Fungi; Ascomycota.